UCGGCCUUCUUUUUGUCAGUCCCCGUCGAUGGAGCGAGUUGAAUGUCACGUACGCGCACGGCGCUGUGCAGGAAUCUAGUAAAUCUAAGCGACUGCAAUGAAAUGAGAGAUGGAGUUGGGGUAAUUAGAAAAUAAAAUUAAACAAAGCACCGAAAUGGUGAGUAGGUAACACAGUAAGUACUCGCCAGGCAGAGGGCAGAUCGGGUCAGCGAGGGCUAUUUGGGUGAGCUUCUGGGAUGGGAGGUUGGCGUGAGAGAGGCUUCGAGGGGUGUGGGCUUCAACCUGACAUGGCAAGUGUGGUUUAAUAGGAGCAGGUGCCUGCGGGGCCAGGACGGCUGCGAGGGCGAGGGGGGCUGGGAGCCGGGCAGGUAAGCCUACAGGUGGAAGAGACGGAUCAGGAACAGGACGGGAGGAAGUGGGAAUCCAGCUUCCCUGGAACUGACCGGGAGGCCACUCCACCUUAAAUCCACCUGCGUUUCCCUCCGCGUCUUCCCACAACCCCGGCAAGAACUCCACUGUCUGUCUCAAUCAACUGAUUUCUGAUUGCAUUACGACCAGUUAACCGAAUUAGUUGAGAGAUGGAGAAAUGUCUGCAACAUCAUCCCAUUUACGCUGGUGGCCAGAGUUCCAGGAGCCCACCCAGGAUGCCUACACGACAUUCAGUUGCCACGUCUCCUGAGGCUCCCGUUGGCUGCGACCUUGCAAACACCGAGAAGAACUAAGAUGCAAUACAGAACACACCCCUGCUGGGAUCCGUCGCACGUUUCCUCCUCCUGAGACCGAGGUUGGGUGCUUCGGACCAAGGGAACCAAAGCCAACUGCCAUGUUCCUCACAUAGCAUCUCUGGCCGACACCGCCCUCACGGUCCAUGGGCUCACCGGGUCUCCCCUGGCCAGUAUUUAGCAAAUUCUUUGGAAUAUUGAGAAAAUUUUCACUCCCUCAUAAAAUGAAAGACAGAAAGCCAACACACACAGAAAUGUCUCAGCCUUUACACAGUGUGACAUGAUUCUUCAUGUCCUGUAGCUGCCUUUUUACCUUUGAUAAGAAUAUUGUUCACCUGUGAGUUUCUGAACAUUUCACCUGCAAAAAAGGAAGGAAAUUCUACAGUUCAUCUUUUUUAAUGAAAAAAGAAAGUCCUGGGCAGCCCAGGUGGCUCAGCGGUUUAGUGUUGCCUUCAGCCUGGGCCAUGAUCCUGGAGACCUGGGAUCAA
This is a long non-coding RNA of Canis lupus familiaris (dog), 1210 nucleotides long. RefSeq lists it as uncharacterized. The record is from RefSeq and is a predicted model, not a curated record. The transcript is spliced from 4 exons. Lineage: Eukaryota; Metazoa; Chordata; Mammalia; Carnivora; Canidae.